This is an RNA transcript of Oncorhynchus gorbuscha (pink salmon), 3388 nucleotides long. It is a transcript of the gene named phosphoinositide 3-kinase regulatory subunit 5-like, with no coding region annotated. The transcript has 7 exons. NCBI's taxonomy places the organism in Eukaryota, Metazoa, Chordata, Actinopteri, Salmoniformes, Salmonidae. The record is from RefSeq and is a predicted model, not a curated record.
UUGCAUUUGGAUCAUCUAUUUUCGUUGGGCUGUGGCAGCACACACACUGAAGGAUGUGGUCACUGUAUUCGUGUCCCUUCCACUGGUGAGCCACAGCUGGAUGGAAGAAAAAAACUCUGGGAUAUAAAGCACUACUGAAUGACACACCCUUCAGGACAGCUGCAGGAGAUUAUCUAAAAUGGAGCACACCUCGUGCACAGAGGACCAUUUGCACCACGCCCUGGACAGGUGCCUUUAUGGCCUGGGCCACAGCUCUCCCAACACAGCCCUGGAACGGCCCCAGAGUCUGCAACACCAUGAAGCACCACCAGGCAAGCAGCACCAUGAAGAUCAAGGAGCUCUCUGAACAGGUUCUUGAACAGUCCCAGGAUGUGCUGGUGGUCCCACUGGCUCUCCUGUUCUCUUCCACUGUUCUGCAGGUGAGCACAGAUACAGUAGACCGCCACACCACAGAAACUCAUCCUCACCACCAACCGUGACCGGAAACCCACGAUGCCUGUGAGGUGUUCCACUGUUUCCUGUCCUGGCCAGAGCCCUGCUGCAGCGCCAGCCGACACCUGCUCUCCCUCAUCCAGCAGGAGCUCAGGGUGCCAGGUAUCUAAUUUCACAGACUAGUGAGAGAAGAACAGGGCUUGACCACCACCACCAAUCACUGCAAAACUAUGAUGGUAUUGUUAAUGAGCCUAGGCGAGGAUGUCCCUCCCGAGCUCAUGUCUGUCUCUGAGCAGCUGAGUGGUGUCUGUCACUCCCAGAGGGACACCUCCAUCACCCUGAUCAAACAUGCCUUCCAGGCUGCCCUGAGGACCAAGUACCCCCUCCAGACACUGCAUCAUGCACUGCAGGUAUGUCCUAUUAUAUGUGAUUCCUAAAUGAUGUGUUCACAGUGUCACGUCUGGGAGAAUUUGCAUACCCCCUGCAGACUGCCAUAUAGGCCCUGGUGAGAGAAUUUGCAUACCCCCUCCAGACUGCCAUACAGGCCCUGGUGAGAGAAUUUGCAUACCCCCUCCAGACUGCCAUACAGGCCCUGGUGAGAGAAUUUGCAUACCCCCUCCAGACUGCCAUACAGGCCCUGGUGAGAGAAUUUGCAUACCCCCUCCAGACUGCCAUACAGGCCUUGGUGAGAGAAUUUGCAUACCCCCUCCAGACUGCCACACAGGCCCUGGUGAGAGAAUUUGCAUACCCCCUCCAGACUGCCAUACAGGCCCUGGUGAGAGAAUUUGCAUACCCCCUCCAGACUGCCAUACAGGCCCUGGUGAGAGAAUUUGCAUAUCCCCUCCAGACUGCCAUACAGGCCCUGGUGAGAGAAUUUGCAUACCCCCUCCAGACUGCCAUACAGGCCCUGGUGAGAGAAUUUGCAUACCCCCUCCAGACUGCCAUACAGGCCCUGGUGGAGAGAAUUUGCAUACCCCCUCCAGACUGCCAUACAGGCCCUGGUGAGAGAAUUUUACUACAUGCGUCAUCAUAAUCUCACCAUCUGAGGGGUUCCUGGAACAGAUAAGCUGGUCAACUUUGGGCAAACAGGACGGACUGGAGAUGAUUAGAGAGAGACAGAUGAGGAAGUCAAAUGUUGAGUAAUGAGAAACUCAGUGGCACAUACAAUGCUUGAUCCUACUUGAUCUGAUUUAGUCUUGGUUCUUUCUCUUAUUAUUAGGAAAUGUCCAUGCACUGCCCUUAGCCAAAUGUCACAUGUACUCCUGGGAUAAGGACAACUUCGGUAAUGAGCUUUUCCCAUUGCUUCUUUCUCCAUAUCCAAGACAGUAAAUUUCAAACCCAUACUGUAAAAUCUGUAUAGCCUUUGUGUCUGUGGAUUGUCAAUGAUGUAAUUCUGUGUAUUCGUUCAGACAUUUUAAAAGACAUUCUUCAGAGUGAGCUGGACCGGCUCCCAGUCUUUAACCUUUACAGAGACAAGGAAGAGGAGGAUGAGGAAACAAGAAAGAACCGAUACAGACCACCGGAUCUCCACUGUGUCCACCUGCUCCAAAUACUAUGUUCUCCGGGACUCCCUGACCUCCAGCUUGUCUGUGCCCUCCACCCUGUCUGUAUGUGUGAAAAACAUCAGUCAUGUGGACUCAAUCAUCCAUUUACUGGUGUAGACAGAUGUGCCUGUAUUGAAUUUCCUUGUAUCCUACAAUGUUUCACAGUGUAUCUGAAUGCAGUGUUGAGAUGUAGUACCAGUCAAAAGUUGACACACCUACACAUUCAAAGGUUUUUCUUCAUUUUUACUAUUUCAUACAUUGUAGAAUAAUAGUGAAGACAUCACAACUAUGAAAUAACACAUCAUCGAACCCUGGAAUGAGUAGGCGUGUCCAAACUUAGAAUACACAAGGUGCAAUACCGAAAUUUGGUUGUGCAUCAGCUAUUUUUCUUGGUACUGUAUAUCAGUCACUCAAUUUGAUUGAUCAUUUAGUCUAGCCAUCUAUCUAAACUUGUAGUAAUCAUGGUCGAAUUCCGACCCUUUACUCAGGGGCCCCCAUUGGUUCUGACUUAGCAUAUGUGGACAACUACAAAUACCUAGGUGUCUGGCUAGACUAUAAAUUCUCCUUCCAGACUCAUAUUAAGCAUCUCCAAUCCAAAAUUAAAUCUAGAGUCGGCUUCCUAUUUCGCAAUAAAGCCUCCUUCACUCACGUUGCCAAACAUACCCUCGUAAAACUGACUAUCCUACCGAUCCUCGACUUCAGCGAUGUCAUUUACAACAUAGCCUCCAACACUCUGCUCAGAAAACUGGAUGCAAUCUAUCGCAGUGCCAUCCGUUUUGUCACCAAAGCCCCAUAUACCACCCACCACUACUAACAAAUUGAUGUCGUUAGUCACUCUAACUCAGAUAUCAUAUUAACAGGUGAGUGGGGGCAGUGGGACCACCUUCCCUGUGUGUCUGGACCAGGAUGAGAAGAAGAUCACCCAAUGUGUCAUCAGAUACAGUAUCAAUUAAACCAACCACAGGCAUGAUCAUGUGCUGCCAAUAUACAGUAUAUUACAGAAUUAUUUUACAUGACAUGUUGCUGACCCAAUAAUUAUUUUGUUGUGUGUAGGUGUGAGGUGUCAUUGUGCUGCAAACCAGGCAGCGGUUCUGACUGGAGGUCUCACAGGAGACGGCCUGGUCAGGUCCAGCCACUGCACCCCUCCUUCUGCUCCCUGCUCUGCCUGCCCAUCACCUCCUGUGGCUCUCAACUGUCAUAAAACACUGGACUAGGCUACUCUCUCUCCUAAACCACUCAGACAUAAACACCCACAUGUCCUAAUAAUAAUGUAUUCCAUUGAGCAUGAAGCUUUUAUCCAAAGCAACAUACAGUCAUGUAUACAUACAGUUGAAGUUGGAAAUUGACAUACACCUUAGCCAAAUACAUUUCAACUCAGUUUUUCAAAAUUCCUGACAUUUAAUCCUAGUAAA